CUAUGUGUCUCUAUGGGGUCUCUAUAGGUCCCUAUGGGGUCUCUAUGGGGUCUCUAUGAGUCCCUAUGGGUCUCUAUGGGUCUCUAUGGUGUCACUAUGGGGUCCUAUGUGUCUCCAUGGGUCACUAUGGGUCUCUAUGGGUCUCUAUGGGUCUCUCUGGGGUCUCUAUGGGUCACUAUGGGGUCCUAUGUGUCUUUAUGGGUCUCUAUGUGGUCCCUAUGGGGUCUCUUUGGGUCUCUAUGGGGAGCUAUGGGGUCUCUAUGGGGUCACUAUGGGGUCCUAUGUGUCCCUAUGAGCUCUAUGGGGUCUCUAUGUGGAGCUAUGGGGUCCUAUGGGUCUCUAUGGGGAGCUAUGGGUCCCUAUGGGGCACUAUGGGGUCUCUAUGGGGUCACUAUGGGGGCACUAUGGGGUCUCUAUGGGUUCCUAUGGGGUCUCUAUGGUUCUCUAUGGGGUCCCUAUGGGUUGCUAUGGGUCCCUAUGGGUUGCUAUGGGUUGCUAUGGAGAUGCCGGUUGCCAUGGCGACGCAGCCCUUACGAAGCCGUUGCCCAUGAUGCGGUAGAGGCCUUUGAGCGACUCCAGGUCCUUGUUGGUGAAAUGGAACUGCACCAUGCGGGAGUUCCUGAACAGCGGCCCCAAAGUGGUCUGAAAACCA
This 652-nucleotide long non-coding RNA is filed under the name Chrysolophus pictus (golden pheasant). RNAcentral's name for it is "lncRNA (ENSCPIG00010009327.1)". The record is from RNAcentral. Lineage: Eukaryota; Metazoa; Chordata; Aves; Galliformes; Phasianidae.